GAGUUUGAUCCUGGCUCAGGACGAACGCUGGCGGCGUGCUUAACACAUGCAAGUCGAACGGAAAGGCCCCGCUCGCGGGGUACUCGAGUGGCGAACGGGUGAGUAACACGUGGGUGAUCUGCCCUGCACUUCGGGAUAAGCCUGGGAAACUGGGUCUAAUACCGGAUAUGACCUCCCUUUAGUGUGGGGGGUGGAAAGAUUUAUCGGUGCAGGAUGAGCCCGCGGCCUAUCAGCUUGUUGGUGGGGUAAUGGCCUACCAAGGCGUCGACGGGUAGCCGGCCUGAGAGGGUGGACGGCCACAUUGGGACUGAGAUACGGCCCAGACUCCUACGGGAGGCAGCAGUGGGGAAUAUUGCACAAUGGGCGGAAGCCUGAUGCAGCGACGCCGCGUGGGGGAUGACGGCCUUCGGGUUGUAAACCUCUUUCGACAGGGACGAAGUGAAAAUGACGGUACCUGUAUAAGAAGCACCGGCUAACUACGUGCCAGCAGCCGCGGUAAUACGUAGGGUGCGAGCGUUGUCCGGAAUUACUGGGCGUAAAGAGCUCGUAGGUGGUUUGUCACGUCGUCUGUGAAAUUCCGGGGCUUAACCUCGGGCGUGCAGGCGAUACGGGCAAUACUUGAGUGCUGUAGGGAGACUGGAAUUCCUGGUGUAGCGGUGAAAUACGCAGAUAUCAGGAGGAACACCAAUGGCGAAGGCAGGUCUCUGGGCAGUUACUGACGCUGAGGAGCGAAAGCAUGGGUAGCGAACAGGAUUAGAUACCCUGGUAGUCCAUGCCGUAAACGGUGGGCGCUAGGUGUAGGGGACUUCCACGUUCUCUGCGCCGUAGCUAACGCAUUAAGCGCCCCGCCUGGGGAGUACGGCCGCAAGGCUAAAACUCAAAGGAAUUGACGGGGGCCCGCACAAGCGGCGGAGCAUGUGGAUUAAUUCGAUGCAACGCGAAGAACCUUACCUGGGCUUGACAUACACCGGACCGGCGUAGAGAUACGUCUUCCCUUGUGGCCGGUGUACAGGUGGUGCAUGGUUGUCGUCAGCUCGUGUCGUGAGAUGUUGGGUUAAGUCCCGCAACGAGCGCAACCCUUGUCUUAUGUUGCCAGCACGUGAUGGUGGGGACUCCUGAGAGACUGCCGGGGUCAACUCGGAGGAAGGUGGGGAUGACGUCAAAUCAUCAUGCCCCUUAUGUCCAGGGCUUCACACAUGCUACAAUGGUCGGUACAGCAGGUCGCGAACUCGUGAGAGUAAGCCAAUCCUUCAAAGCCGGCCUCAGUCCGGAUUGGGGUCUGCAACUCGACCCCAUGAAGUCGGAGUCGCUAGUAAUCGCAGAUCAGCAACGCUGCGGUGAAUACGUUCCCGGGCCUGUACACAC
Molecule: ribosomal RNA, 1365 nt
Filed under: uncultured bacterium
Lineage: Bacteria
Description: bacterial SSU rRNA
Rfam family: Bacterial small subunit ribosomal RNA
Source: RNAcentral